AGGGUAAUAGCUCAGUGGUGGAGUGCAUGAUUAGCAUGCACGAGGUCCUGGGUUCAAUCCCAGUAACUCCA
This 71-nucleotide transfer RNA is filed under the name Camelus bactrianus (Bactrian camel). It matches the Rfam family "tRNA". Rfam says of the family: Transfer RNA (tRNA) molecules are approximately 80 nucleotides in length. Lineage: Eukaryota; Metazoa; Chordata; Mammalia; Artiodactyla; Camelidae. The record is from Rfam by way of RNAcentral. RNAcentral also lists the same sequence under 2 other names.